Taeniopygia guttata (zebra finch) is the source of this 5734-nucleotide non-coding RNA. Lineage: Eukaryota; Metazoa; Chordata; Aves; Passeriformes; Estrildidae. The record is from RefSeq and is a predicted model, not a curated record.
CCGCCGCUCAGGGACACACCUCGCGGCGGAGCUGCCGCCCGGAGCGGCCCCGGUACCUGCCCGGCCGCCCGGGAGCGGCCGUGCCGAGCGGCGGGGGCGGGCACGGGGAGCCGCGCCGAUGGGCGGCCGGCAGGGCGCGGGGAGACUGCGCCCUCACCUCCCGGCACAUCGCUUUAAUAGCUCCGGGGCUCAUCAGUUGGAAGGCAGGAGCUGGCACCAAACCCAACUCAGUCCUGCCAUAAAUUAGAAACUUGGGUUCUCCCCACGCACCAACAAAGGUUUUCGUCAGAAAUGCAUUUUCAAUUUGUUCUAGUACUUUAGGAUGAACUCCCCAGAAAAGAGAUUGUCUUUUUGUUACCAAUAUGUUGCAAGCCAUGCUUUACUGUCCCUCGUCUAUCCGUCCAUCCGUAGUUCCGCGGGACACUUCCACUGUUAGCUGUAACCUAGAGCUGUGGGGUCAGAGCUCAGAGGUGCUUUUAGGCUAUCUACUGCCACUGCUUUAAAGCCACCCUUAUCUGUACUGCUCUGUCCAAGUGUGACAAAUAGCUCCACUAACACCAUGUUUAUACAUUUUUCAAGAAAACUUCAGUGGCAUCAUUUGUUUCGGAAAAAGAACUCAUCUAGUUUUAUUUUGUUAUUUAGGUAUAUCUAAGGCAGACUUGGUGUCUCCACAAUAAUUUCUGCAAAUAUAACUAAUGUAAACAAUGUAUUCAUAUCACAUAGAGUUGAAGUAAAGUAGGUGAAAACAGAAGAGCCAGCCUCAUUCAAAGCAACUGUCCCUAGGCUGGUAUCUUCUUCUGACAAUGGCCAAUAGUAGAGAUACAUGUAAGAGGUAUAAAAACAUAUAAACCACCAUUAUGUGGCCUUUUCUUUCCGUUUUCAGCUCCUGGGUGCACAGGAAAAGCUCUCAGGUGAAAUCUGUAUCCACUGCAACCCUAACAGCCGCAAAUGUACCACUUCUCUAUGUUAAAUAGCUUUUUGAGCUGUUGGUACACCUGGCCUCCAGGAGUGGUGGGAAGGUCUCAAAUUUGCACAAAGACUAGACAGGAAUUUUUUUCUCACUAGUUUUAAAACCAGUGCUUAAUAAUUUUACAGGGUACUUGAAUUUUUGUCAUCUAAGAAAUAGUGAAUGAUCAUGCCCUAUUUAUUUAUACCAUACCAGUUUAUAGACCUCAUAUUAUUUCAUCCUUUUUCCUGAACUAUGGAGCUUUGGUCUUUUACUUGUUUCCAAACCCCUUUGAGCUAGCAUUGCUCAAAGGAGCACUCCUUCCAGUCCCUGUUGCUUUUUUCUGUCCUUUGGCCACAUGCAUUUCUUGUGCUAGCAUGCUGCAAACUCUAUCAGAAUAAUCCAACAAAAAUGAUUAAUUUUGUUUCAGAUAGCUCCCCCACUGAGCUGCUGAACAGCUGCACAAACACCAAAAGGGAGAGGCUUUCAGGGGUGACAGCGACUAGCUGCAGGCAAAGAAGCUUGGGCCUAAGCAAAACUGGUCAAAACGGUUUGUGAAGCUACAGCUGAAGGCAGAGGUUUCCUAGGACUGGCUGCCACUUUUCUCCCUCUGUCAUGUAUCUCCCUGUCUACAUCCACAGAUGUGGCUGUGCCCUUUCAGCUCAGUCACCUGGCAGGAAACUCCUCCUUUUUUUAGUGUGUGUGUCUUCUACCAGGUUACUGUGUGAACCAGAUCAGUGACAGCAUGAAGAAGUGUGGAGUGGGAUUGCAGCAGUAAAUCCAUAGUCUGCUCUGAGAUUGCAGCCUGAGCCCCUCAAACAGAAGCCAUUCCCCACCUUUUCAUCCUGCCCUGUAUGUUUUCUAUUUAUACUUCUUUUCAGACAAGGUUGACAAAACUACAUACAAUAUUCAAGAUAUAUUAUAGCAACAGUGUCCUGCUUCUUUCUAGCUUCUGUUUUUUUCUUACUAUUUUCAAACAUUGCAUAGGUCACUUCUUGACCUGUUCUCUCCAAAGAGCCAUGAACAAGAUGUCUGAGAUCUCUUUCCUGAGUGGAAAACACUUUCCAGAAUGCUGAUUUACCAGUGAAUACAGAAGGUGAAUGAGAUUUCCUUUCAUUAGAGGCUAAAAUGGAGGAUGAAAAUGGCUUUAGGCACUAGCAAAGCCAAAUUGCUCAUCUGGACAGUGGCACUCCCUCUGCAGCAAGCAAGAACAACGAGCAAACUCCUGGGCAGAACAGGCCACUGCCAUCCAUGGCUGAACUCUCAGACUAAAAAGCACCGACCAACAGCACAGACCUCCAGCCAGAGCCUACAGGACAUCAUGGCUCCUGGUUUGUUUUAUACCUCUGCAGGACAUCAAAGGGUUGAGGUGGGGAUAUUUUCUGUGCAACCUGAGUCAGCACUAAGCACCUUGAGGCAGGGAGCCCAAUGGGGCUGUUGCACUUAUGACAAGAUGUUAUGGAGAAGAUCUUCAAUAACUGACUCUGCUUUUUACUUCUUACUCCCUUUCAAAAAAUAUCUUUUCUUUUUCCAUUUUUGAAAUGACCUCUGUAUGUCUGGGUUACAAGCAUUAGAUUGUGGACUUAACUACAUUGUGGAGGAAGUCCAGUUCCUUUUAUCUUGCUCCUGCUUUCACAGGUCUGUUAUCCAAUUGAGGAUAUUAAAUUCAGUUCUAAUAGAUUUCUUGCUUGAUGAUUAAGCACCUGUUGUACCAUCACUAAAUGUCUCUCUAGUGUCUUCUUAUGUCGUCAUUUGGCAAAAGAGUUUUGUAGAGGUUGAAAGAUACCGUGAUUUCACCACAUGAGACAAGGCAAAGAAGGGAGCUCACAAACUGGAGCUACUGUGGGCAGACAGACUAUAGAAUGACUCUAGAAUGCCCCUGACAGGUAAUCUAUAUCAAAAAAGUAGAAUCCCAAAUAUCCUACUGUCUUCACACACACAAACAUGAAUCUUGUUUGUAUGAAAAAAUCACACAAAAAUUCCUUACUGAAACAGUGUAAUUUUGAAGACCUGAGGAUUUGUAAUUUUGUUUCACCCAAAGAUGAAAAAGCUCCUGUAGCAGUGUGUGUAGCUUGCUCAGGUGGACCUCAGUUAAUUACACAAAGUAUGGAUUCCCACACUAAAAAUUUAAGAUUUCUUUUUGUCAUCAUCAGGAAUUGAACACAGACUUCAAGACGAGAACAUUCCAUGGUACCAAUGCAGUCCCUGCUGCUUGGGAAACCCAUUUGGUAGAUCCAUCCAGACCUUCUCCUAAUGUGCCAGUGCCGCAAAUGAGCUGGGGCUUUUUGCACAUCCUGCACCUUCACUUUUAAAACCAGAGUUUUAAACACAUUAGCUUCAUUUAAUGCCUGGCUGUUAAGUGAGUCAAAGUAAAUUAAAAUUGUAAAGUAUUUAUGAUGAUGAGAAGUGAAAUUUGGAAGGUAACAAAAAUAGGACGUGAGCCUUCUGAGAACAUUUCCAGGCAUUCAGUGUAAUGCUGGAUAGUCUUGCAGCUCCACUGAAAGUUGUUACUGAUGCAUAUGUGAAACCUUAUUCCAAGACACACACUGAUGCAGAAUGAAAGUGGUGAUGAAAAAGAAGGUCAGAAGGAUGAGAAACUGCAACUAAAAGCAAUUAGAAGCCAUGCUUCGAUUCAGGCUAUUUUCAGAUUCAGGGAUAAAUACAAAAAUCUACUGUCUCCUCUUCCAAAUAUAAGUCCUUCAUGGAGCCACACAAACAUAUGCCUUUGUUUAGAUCAGGCCAAUAUUUUUGUAUGAGAAAGUGAAAUUUCAUCCAGAAUUCUUUAAUAAUGUCAGUGGCAUAAAAUUUCUUUUCUCUGGUGUAUUCAAGUUAAACAUUUUCUAAUAAAAACAAUCACAGAAAGGGUGCCCUUAUACUGAACAAUUCUUUUGAGUGAUUAGCAUAUGUUAAAUAAAGAAGAAAAGGAUUAAUUUUCAAAAUGUGCUUAAUUCUAGUGAUGAUGAAAUGGAUGAAAAGAAUAAGUAAAUGUAGAUUAGAGAGAGAAUCAGAGACUUGGGUAAAAAGUGGAACUGAAUGCAGGGAGAGAAAUAUAGAAGAAAGGUUGUUCAUCUUUCACACAUGUCAUUUACUCAAAAAGAAAUUGCAUAAAAGACUUUCCAAUUAAUGUCUCGCUUCAAUAAGGGAUCCAAACCCUAUUUUCUGACAGUGAUACAUUAUGCUGGAGGGAAAAGGAGAAAAGCUUCUUUUCUCCAGGUGCUAGUCAUGCCCAUGUCCAUAUGCUGAACUGAAUAACCAGAGGAAUAGCCUUUGCAAGGGACCAAUUCUCUUCAGGGCCAUCAGCUUUUCUACUGGGUGCUCCACAGUUGAAACAACUGAGUCUUGCUUUGAAGCAUUGCGCCAACAUGGACACUUAUGUUUCUUCUCUUUUCUCUGAUGUCCUCAGCCCUGUGGAAAUGUGCUGAGCUAAAACAAGGGGCACCCUGAUGAUGAAGAAAUUAUCAUGAGCUGCGCGAUUGUCAGAAAAAAGUUGAGAGAAAACGCAGUGUCAGCAGAUAGAGCCCAGUUCUGACUCAUGCUGACAAGAGUUCAACAAGCCUGAAUCCCAAACCAGAUUCAGAGUAGGAAUGAACUUUUGAGUGAUGUAAGGAAUUUCAUAAUCAUUGCUGGUGGACAGGACUUUUUGUUUUAUUUAGGGCAUUGGUAUAGGAAUAUACCAUGAGGUCAUCAUGACUUCUAUUCCUAUGCAUUCUGCACAUGCUUGUGUCCUAGGGGAUUUUUAGUUGCUUGAAUAGAGCCUGAAAUAAAUGUAAAUAAAUUAAAGUGUGGCAUGAGGAGAAAAAUAUCGCAGAAAAACAAUAAGAACAAAUAUAAGUCCAUACAAUGUGUUCUACCCUACAAAACCUCACUGGGAAUAAUAUAAACACCAAGAUGACAAGUGGAGUUGCUGAGACAUUACUUGAGUUGGAGCUGUCUCUCAAAGGCAGGAGGGAGAGUACUGAUAUUCAUUGCUGCCUGUGGAAAGGGCUUCUCAGCAGAAGACCAUAAUGUUUCUUUAUUCUCAUUUAACUCAAAGCAAUAAAAAAAUCCCAGCUGUAUAACACAAUAUAAGGGGACAGUGAGAGACAAAACCAGUUUUUUAACAAGAUGUAGCUCUUGCCAAUGCUCCAAGCUCUUAGAGGGAACUCUGCUCUGAAGCAGCCUCUAUGGAUGAGUCUGGGCUUGGAAGGAGGGAGAAGAGCUGUCACUGCAGAGCAGCUCUCAAACCCUGAUCCCUGGGGCAAGCUGCUGGUGGUUGGGAAGAGUUGCCUGGUAACAAGGAGCUGCUGCCUUCUCAUUUCCAGCUGUUAAACUGCAUUGGAAGGAGCUGAAUAAUACCAGAAUAGAAACCUAGCUUAUAAUUUGUGGUUUAAUGCAAUGGAAUAGGAGUAAUGUUAUGGCAUCUCUAAAUUGUUUAGGACACGAGUCUUUGCAGUAGCGUUCUAGUAGGUCCAUGUUGCAAAAUGGAAACAAGUUUCUGUAACCUUUUGUUGAUCAGCUUCUUGUUCCAACAGGAUUUGUCAGUGGAGUGCUGGUGGUGUAACAUCUGGUGUGUGUAAAGAAUGGGGAAAAGGUAAUGGGGAUUUUAACAGAGCAGCACAAGAAACAGACAUAACCAAGAAAAAAAAAAUUCAUUUUCUGGAAAGUGUAUGCAAAUAUAUGUAUUAAAAUAUCAACAUUUAUAUUUCAUAAUUGAAUGAAAAAUGCAAAAUCUGAUGUGCUGAUUUCUCCAUCCAAAUGGAAAUGUGUACAUUUACCUACUGGUGGUAAUAAUAACAAUAAUAAUAAUAA